This 72-nucleotide non-coding RNA is filed under the name pig gut metagenome. The record is from RNAcentral.
GGCGUGGUGCCUGGCGGCUGAGAUGAGACCCGAGAACCUGAUCCGGAUAAUGCCGGCGAAGGGAGAAAAAGA